This 841-nucleotide long non-coding RNA is filed under the name Phasianus colchicus (ring-necked pheasant). Its description in RNAcentral is "lncRNA (ENSPCLG00000022336.1)". Lineage: Eukaryota; Metazoa; Chordata; Aves; Galliformes; Phasianidae. The record is from RNAcentral.
GAUCCCAUAAGCUCUGAUCAAUAUUGUAUCUGUAAUGUAAUACUCAAAUUUUAUUAUUGUUAGCAGGGUGGAUCAUCAUCCUCACAAAAUUAUGGUGGCAACCAGGGAGGAUCACAAAGCUAUAGUAGUGGCCAAGUGAGUAGUGCUUUAUUUUACCAAUUACAAAUUACGUCCUACAAGCUUUAGCCUCUGCUUGAAAUCAGGUUUUCUGUAUCCUGAUAUUCUCUGAUCUUGACUGGUUUGUUUUAAAGGGUGGAUCGUAUUCACAAAACUAUGGUGGCGGCCAAGUAAGUAGUGUUUUAUUUCACCAAUUACACAUUGCUUCCUACAAGCUUUAGCUUCUUCUCAAAAGCAAGUUUUCUGUAUCCUACUAUUCUCGGGUGUUGAUUGGUUGGUUUAUUUUAAAGAGUGGGUCUUCCUCACAAAACUAUUGUGGUGGCCAAGUAAAUAACACUUUAUUUCAUUAAUUCCACAUCACUUCCUACAAGCUUUAGCUUCUGCUCAAAAUGGGUUUUCUGUAUUGUAAUGUUCUCUGAUGUUGGUCGGUUUGUUUGUUUUAAAGGGUGGAUCAUAUUCACAAAACUAUGGUAGUGGCAAAGUGAGUGAAUGCUUUGUUUCUUUACUUUUAUAUUGCAUCCUACAAGCUUUGGCUUCUGCUCAAAUUGAGCAUUCCUGUAUUCUUGUUUUCUCUGAUAUUGGUUGUUGCUUUAUUUUAAAGGGUGAAUCAUACUCACAAAACUAUGGUGGUGGCAAAGGUGGAUCAUAUUCACAAAACUAUGGUAGUGGCCAAGUAAGUUAUGCUUUAUCUCCUUACUUACACAUCACAUUCUACAAGUUUUAG